Molecule: transfer RNA, 73 nt
Filed under: Polaribacter sp.
Lineage: Bacteria; Pseudomonadati; Bacteroidota; Flavobacteriia; Flavobacteriales; Flavobacteriaceae
Description: tRNA-Trp
Rfam family: tRNA
About the family: Transfer RNA (tRNA) molecules are approximately 80 nucleotides in length.
Source: RNAcentral
ACGGGUUUAGCUCAGUUGGUAGAGCACUGGUCUCCAAAACCAGGUGUCGGGGGUUCAAGUCCCUCAAUCCGUG